AGAUGAUCUUUGCUUUGGCAAGCCUGGAAGCAACGUGCAAGGUAAAGAAUGAAGAAGAGCAGGAAGAGAAAAGCUGGCACAUUAAACUGCCCUUGUAUUUCUUCAGAUUUCUACGCUGCAGUGUCUAGGUGACUGCAGAUACAAUAAUCACUUUGCUCACCACCACCAUGGAACCACCCUUGGCAAGGCCACGGCAGCCAUCAAACAGCACGUUGGGAGUUACUGCUCCAAUUGCAAAGAUCACGAGGGCACGUUUGAAGCAGGUAAAGCAUACUUUAAUUGGGUAGCUCUGUGUUUGCCAUUAUUGCUGGGACCCAUUCAAAUUCUCUCAUGACGUUUCCCUACUCUGGAGGGGGAAGGUGUUUUAGUUUGUUUGUUCUGAGGCUUUGGUUAUUGAGCAGUGGACAGGUGAGCUAAACUUU
RNAcentral lists this long non-coding RNA (422 nucleotides) under Numida meleagris (helmeted guineafowl). Its description in RNAcentral is "lncRNA (ENSNMEG00000013898.1)". Lineage: Eukaryota; Metazoa; Chordata; Aves; Galliformes; Numididae. The record is from RNAcentral.